Molecule: ribosomal RNA, 614 nt
Filed under: uncultured organism
Description: bacterial SSU rRNA
Rfam family: Bacterial small subunit ribosomal RNA
Source: RNAcentral
AGGAUGAACGCUAGCGGCAGGCCUAAUACAUGCAAGUCGCGGGGUAAGGCUCUUUCGGGAGCACACGACCGGCGCACGGGUGCGUAACGCGUAUGCAACCUACCUAUAACAAGGGGAUAGCCCGGGGAAACCCGGAUUAAUACCCUAUAAAGCAGGGGUACUGCAUGGUACUAUUUGCUAAAGUUGAGGCGGUUAUAGAUGGGCACGCGUUAGAUUAGCUAGUUGGUAAGGUAACGGCUUACCAAGGCGACGAUCUAUAGGGGUUCUGAGAGGAAGGUCCCCCACACUGGCACUGAGAUACGGGCCAGACUCCUACGGGAGGCAGCAGUAAGGAAUAUUGGUCAAUGGGCGAGAGCCUGAACCAGCCAUGCCGCGUGCAGGAAGACGGCCUUCUGGGUUGUAAACUGCUUUUAUACGGGAAGAAAAAGGUCUUGCGAGGCUACUUGCCGGUACCGUAUGAAUAAGCACCGGCUAACUCCGUGCCAGCAGCCGCGGUAAUACGGAGGGUGCAAGCGUUGUCCGGAUUUAUUGGGUUUAAAGGGUGUGUAGGCGGUAGUUUAAGUCAGUGGUGAAAGUCUUGAGCUUAACUGAAGAAGUGCCAUUGAAACUGGAUU